This is an unclassified non-coding RNA of Ursus americanus (American black bear), 106 nucleotides long. It matches the Rfam family "Y RNA". Rfam says of the family: Y RNAs are components of the Ro ribonucleoprotein particle (Ro RNP), in association with Ro60 and La proteins. The Y RNAs and Ro60 and La proteins are well conserved, but the function of the Ro RNP is not known. Lineage: Eukaryota; Metazoa; Chordata; Mammalia; Carnivora; Ursidae. The record is from Ensembl.
GGCUGGUCCAAAGGUAGUGAGUUAUCUCAAGUGAUGGUUCACAGUUACAGAUCGAACUCCUGGUUCUACUCCUCACCCCCUCACUACUGCACCUGACUAGUCCUUA